RNAcentral lists this ribosomal RNA (434 nucleotides) under uncultured Salinibacter sp. Its description in RNAcentral is "bacterial SSU rRNA". It matches the Rfam family "Bacterial small subunit ribosomal RNA", at positions 349 to 782 of the family's 1533-position model. Lineage: Bacteria; Pseudomonadati; Rhodothermota; Rhodothermia; Rhodothermales; Salinibacteraceae. The record is from RNAcentral.
CAGCAGUGGGGAAUCUUGCACAAUGGGGGAAACCCUGAUGCAGCCAUGCCGCGUGGAGGAAGACACCCCUACGGGGCGUAAACUCCUUUUCUGGUGGAAGAAACCCCUGUUUUUCAGGGUGUGACGGUACACCAGGAAUAAGGACCGGCUAACUCCGUGCCAGCAGCCGCGGUAAUACGGAGGGUCCAAGCGUUGUCCGGAAUCACUGGGUGUAAAGGGUGCGCAGGUGGGGCAGCAAGUCAGUGGUGAAAGCCCGCGGCUUAACCGCGGAAGUGCCGCUGAAACUGCUGCUCUUGAGUCCCGGAGAGGCUGCCGGAAUUCGUGGUGUAGCGGUGAAAUGCGUAGAUAUCACGAGGAACACCAGAGGCGAAAGCGGGCAGCUGGACGGGUACUGACGCUCAGGCACGAAAGCGUGGGGAGCAAACAGGAUUAGA